Molecule: non-coding RNA, 1439 nt
Organism: Arachis ipaensis
Lineage: Eukaryota; Viridiplantae; Streptophyta; Magnoliopsida; Fabales; Fabaceae
Source: RefSeq, a predicted model, not a curated record
CUCUAAUAUAAUCUAACUCUAACUUUUUAUUUUACUCUACACUACCAUUUUCAUCCAAAUUCUUUUUCACCACCACUUUCAUCCCUCACUACCAAAAAAAUAAUUUAAAAUGGCAUUUAUAUUACGGCGGUUUUAAAAACCGCCAUAAUAUCUAAACAUUAUGGCAUUUUUUGUAGCUGCCAUAAUUAACUUAUAUUUGGUGGCGGUUCUGAAAAUUCUGGCGGUUUUGAACCGCCAUUAUCACGUAGGUAUAAAAGGCAAAAAUUUGCAAUCCCUAAUUCCAGAACCCUUUUAACACUAUGCAUACGGUGGCCUCUGCCUUCUCUCCUUCGUCUAUGUUGCUUCAUCCACUACGCUUUCACCCUCCAGCGUCGCUGUUUCCAACGGAAUCGAAGGUUCCAAGCCACACACGCGCUUUCUUUCCCAUAGUCGCUUCCUCACGUCACGGAACCGCUUUUUGCCGACGUUGUUUCUCCAUAGUCGCUGCCCCUGGCCUGUGCGAUGACGUACGAUCUUCUUUCUCUCCGACGACAAUCUUCUCCAGUGAUAUCUCAUCCAGCGACGACCUCCUUAGGCGACAUCUCCUUCAGCGGUGAUCUCCUUCGAUUGAUUAUAAGGGAUCCACAGAGUUGGGAAACAUUGGCAUUAAUCCAUGGGAUUCCUCUAUUUUGGAAGACCUGAUGAAGAAGAUAAAUCCUACAAUUAAAAAAUUUUAUGGGUAUCACUUGAGCACUAAAUCUUAUACAGGAAAAGUGGCCUUAUCUACUUUGAAGAAUGCAUCAAGGAACAAAGUUAUAGAGAUAGGUUGAACUGGUUAAGCUAACUGGGCAGAAGGUCUCAUCAUCACAUAUAUUAGAAGUCUAUCGUGGAUCCUUAAGCCAGUUGGUCAAGAAACACCGUCAUGAUACUUUGAGCCUUCAUGCUGCUGGGAAGCAUCUAGCUAAGGGUGAGGCUUCUUCCCGAGUAUUGCAUCAUCUUGUUGUAGAGGAUUUUCUUGUGGAGGAGGUUAAAAAAAGUGAUUUUUAUGGAUCCGUAUCAUCAAUAUUGAAGGUAAAUGACCCCAAGGUCCGCAACCUGUUGCUGGGGGCCAGAGAAUUAUACUGAGGUUCCCAUCGUCCAUAAAAGCAUCAAAAUUAGCGAAGUACGAGUUCACUCCAGCUAAAGGAUCUCUGACAUCUGGAAAACAAAAUAGUCAUCAAAUUGAUACUCCUGCUCAGCCCCAAACUCAAGUUGACAUGGCAACUAUUCUUGGUGAAUCUGGAGACAAUGUCUUGGGUCACCACGUAUUCUGUAAUUCUCUGUUGCAGCUGAUGAGCAAGAAAGUACCAAGAACAAAGGAAAAACUCCUUGAACUCAAUGGCAUGAGCAAGUAAGUUCAUUCUACGAAUUAAUCAAAUGUACUGGUUAACUGAGUCGGCAUUCACAGAUGUUUCUGUUUA